UUUUAUGGAGAGUUUGAUCCUGGCUCAGGAUGAACGCUGGCGGCGUGCCUAAUACAUGCAAGUCGAGCGAACGGAUGAGAAGCUUGCUUCUCUGAUGUUAGCGGCGGACGGGUGAGUAACACGUGGAUAACCUACCUAUAAGACUGGGAUAACUUCGGGAAACCGGAGCUAAUACCGGAUAAUAUUUUGAACCGCAUGGUUCA
Molecule: ribosomal RNA, 203 nt
Filed under: Staphylococcus aureus
Lineage: Bacteria; Bacillati; Bacillota; Bacilli; Caryophanales; Staphylococcaceae
Description: partial 16S ribosomal RNA
Rfam family: Bacterial small subunit ribosomal RNA
Source: RNAcentral